CAAAAGCAAUUGUGGUUUUUGUCAUUGAAAGUGAUGGCAAAAACUGCAAUUACUUUUGCGCCAACCUAAU
RNAcentral lists this microRNA precursor (70 nucleotides) under Gorilla gorilla gorilla (western lowland gorilla). RNAcentral describes it as "miRNA (ENSGGOG00000042701.1)". The record is from RNAcentral. Lineage: Eukaryota; Metazoa; Chordata; Mammalia; Primates; Hominidae.